Molecule: ribosomal RNA, 460 nt
Filed under: uncultured bacterium
Lineage: Bacteria
Description: partial 16S ribosomal RNA
Rfam family: Bacterial small subunit ribosomal RNA
Source: RNAcentral
CCUACGGGCGGCUGCAGUGAGGAAUAUUGGUCAAUGGACGAGAGUCUGAACCAGCCAAGUAGCGUGAAGGAUGACUGCCCUAUGGGUUGUAAACUUCUUUUAUAUGGGAAUAAAACGUUCCACGUGUGGGAUUUUGUAUGUACCAUAUGAAUAAGGAUCGGCUAACUCCGUGCCAGCAGCCGCGGUAAUACGGAGGAUCCGAGCGUUAUCCGGAUUUAUUGGGUUUAAAGGGAGCGUAGGUGGAUUGUUAAGUCAGUUGUGAAAGUUUGCAGCGCAACCGUAAAAUUGCAGUUGAAACUGGCAGUCUUGAGUACAGUAGAGGUGGGCGGAAUUCGUGGUGUAGCGGUGAAAUGCUUAGAUAUCACGAAGAACUCCGAUUGCGAAGGCAGUUCACUGGACUGCAGCUGACACUGAGGCUCGAAAGUGUGGGUAUCAAACAGGAUUAGAUACCCGAGUAGUC